This 27-nucleotide non-coding RNA is filed under the name Mus musculus (house mouse). Lineage: Eukaryota; Metazoa; Chordata; Mammalia; Rodentia; Muridae. The record is from RNAcentral.
UGUAGCCCAGGCUAACCUCAGACUUGG